RNAcentral lists this ribosomal RNA (253 nucleotides) under uncultured prokaryote. RNAcentral's name for it is "partial 16S ribosomal RNA". It matches the Rfam family "Bacterial small subunit ribosomal RNA", at positions 525 to 777 of the family's 1533-position model. The record is from RNAcentral.
ACGUAGGGUGCAAGCGUUAAUCGGAAUUACUGGGCGUAAAGCGUGCGCAGGCGGUUAUGCAAGACAGAUGUGAAAUCCCCGGGCUUAACCUGGGAACUGCAUUUGUGACUGCAUAGCUAGAGUACGGUAGAGGGGGAUGGAAUUCCCGGUGUAGAGGUGAAAUUCGUAGAUAUCGGGAGGAACACCAGUGGCGAAGGCGGCGAUCUGGGCAGAUACUGACGCUGAGGUGCGAAAGCGUGGGGAGCAAACAGGA